This 1103-nucleotide ribosomal RNA is filed under the name Listeria monocytogenes. Its description in RNAcentral is "partial 23S ribosomal RNA". It matches the Rfam family "Bacterial large subunit ribosomal RNA", at positions 1 to 1096 of the family's 2925-position model. Lineage: Bacteria; Bacillati; Bacillota; Bacilli; Caryophanales; Listeriaceae. The record is from RNAcentral.
UUGGUUAAGUUAGAAAGGGCGCACGGUGGAUGCCUUGGCACUAGGAGCCGAAGAAGGACGGGACUAACACCGAUAUGCUUUGGGGAGCUGUACGUAAGCGUUGAUCCAGAGAUUUCCGAAUGGGGGAACCCACUAUCUUUAGUCGGAUAGUAUCCUUACGUGAAUACAUAGCGUGAGGAAGGCAGACCCAGGGAACUGAAACAUCUAAGUACCUGGAGGAAGAGAAAGAAAAAUCGAUUUCCUGAGUAGCGGCGAGCGAAACGGAAAGAGCCCAAACCAAGAAGCUUGCUUCUUGGGGUUGUAGGACACUCUAUACGGAGUUACAAAAGAAAGUUAUAAAUGAAGCGGUCUGGAAAGGCCCGCCAAAGACGGUAACAGCCCGGUAGUUGAAAUGGCUUUCCCUCCAGAGUGGAUCCUGAGUACGGCGGAACACGUGAAAUUCCGUCGGAAUCCGGGAGGACCAUCUCCCAAGGCUAAAUACUCCCUAGUGACCGAUAGUGAACCAGUACCGUGAGGGAAAGGUGAAAAGCACCCCGGAAGGGGAGUGAAACAGUUCCUGAAACCGUGUGCCUACAAGUAGUUAGAGCCCGUUAAUGGGUGAUAGCGUGCCUUUUGUAGAAUGAACCGGCGAGUUACGAUUUGUUGCAAGGUUAAGCGGAAAAAGCGGAGCCGUAGCGAAAGCGAGUCUGAAUAGGGCGCAUAAGUAACAGGUCGUAGACCCGAAACCAGGUGAUCUACCCAUGUCCAGGAUGAAGGUAAGGUAAUACUUACUGGAGGUCCGAACCCACGCACGUUGAAAAGUGCGGGGAUGAGGUGUGGGUAGCGGAGAAAUUCCAAUCGAACUUGGAGAUAGCUGGUUCUCUCCGAAAUAGCUUUAGGGCUAGCCUCGAGGUAAAGAGUCAUGGAGGUAGAGCACUGUUUGGACUAGGGGCCCUUCUCGGGUUACCGAAUUCAGAUAAACUCCGAAUGCCAUGUACUUAUACUCGGGAGUCAGACUGCGAGUGAUAAGAUCCGUAGUCGAAAGGGAAACAGCCCAGACCACCAGUUAAGGUCCCCAAAUAUAUGUUAAGUGGAAAAGGAUGUGGGGUUGCUUAGACAACCAG